Molecule: ribosomal RNA, 253 nt
Filed under: uncultured bacterium
Lineage: Bacteria
Description: partial 16S ribosomal RNA
Rfam family: Bacterial small subunit ribosomal RNA
Source: RNAcentral
UACGUAGGCAGCGAGCGUUGUUCGGAGUUACUGGGCGUAAAGGGUGUGUAGGCGGUCCUCUAAGUUUGGUGUGAAAUCUCCCGGCUCAACCGGGAGGGUGCGCCGAAAACUGGGGGGCUAGAGUGCGGGAUGGGUAAGUGGAAUUCCUGGUGUAGCGGUGAAAUGCGUAGAUAUCAGGAGGAACACCUGUGGUGUAGACGGCUUACUGGACCGCAACUGACGCUGAGGCACGAAAGCGUGGGUAGCAAACAGG